GUUGAAGCUGGCUUUUUGGGUUUAGGUUCUUGUGACAGCAGCCUCAACCAACUCCACAAGCCCCUACUCUGUAGGAAUCUCAUGCCCUGGUCGCUAUGCGAAAGCCGGCUAUAUGUUCCUGUGAGGUCUCCCCAGUGAACUCAGCAGCAAUUCCAUGUAUGGAAGGAAGAUAGAUAAAGGUCCCACUGAUCUUGCUGGAUUGGAAAUGGAUAGCUAUCACACUGAGGACCACUAGGUGUUGGUUGCUAAUUGGAAAAGUCAUCUGAAAACUUUCUUGAAACAACCAUUGGGUAAGUCAUUUGGACAUUGCUUUUCACUCUGUUCUUCAUCCUGAGAGUUGAUGUGGGCUGGCUCUUAAACCCACUAGGCCUUGCUUUAAUCAUAAACAUAAUCAAACUUGUUCGUACUUUGGAAAAUUAUACUCCCUGAAUCCACAAUUGUUUUAUAUGGGUGAAAGAUGAUAGUAUAACUUGUAAAGGUAGAAUGAAAGGGCC
This 494-nucleotide long non-coding RNA is filed under the name Capra hircus (goat). Its description in RNAcentral is "lncRNA (ENSCHIG00000003704.1)". The record is from RNAcentral. Lineage: Eukaryota; Metazoa; Chordata; Mammalia; Artiodactyla; Bovidae.